Molecule: ribosomal RNA, 449 nt
Filed under: uncultured bacterium
Lineage: Bacteria
Description: partial 16S ribosomal RNA
Rfam family: Bacterial small subunit ribosomal RNA
Source: RNAcentral
GUGGGGAAUUUGGACAAUGGGCGCAAGCCUGAUCCAGCAAUGCCGCGUGCAGGAAGAAGGCCUUCGGGUUGUAAACUGCUUUUGUACGGAACGAAACGGUCCGGGUUAAUACCCUGGGCUAAUGACGGUACCGUAAGAAUAAGCACCGGCUAACUACGUGCCAGCAGCCGCGGUAAUACGUAGGGUGCAAGCGUUAAUCGGAAUUACUGGGCGUAAAGCGUGCGCAGGCGGUUUUGUAAGACAGGCGUGAAAUCCCCGGGCUCAACCUGGGAAUUGCGCUUGUGACUGAAAGGCUGGAGUGCGGCAGAGGGGGAUGGAAUUCCGCGUGUAGCAGUGAAAUGCGUAGAUAUGCGGAGGAACACCGAUGGCGAAGGCAAUCCCCUGGACCUGUACUGACGCUCAUGCACGAAAGCGUGGGGAGCAAACAGGAUUAGAUACCCUAGUAGUCC